This 123-nucleotide ribosomal RNA is filed under the name Pteropus alecto (black flying fox). Lineage: Eukaryota; Metazoa; Chordata; Mammalia; Chiroptera; Pteropodidae. The record is from RNAcentral.
UACAACAGCCAUGUCACCCUGAACGUGCCCGAUCCCAUCAGAUCUGAGAAGCUAAGCAGGGUUGGGCCUGGUUAGCACUUGGAUGGGAGAGAGACCACCUAGGAAGACCAUGUUCUGUAGGAA